GUCAGUUUGGCCGAGUGGUCUAAGGCGCUUGACUUGAAAUCAAGUCCCUUCGGGGGCACAGGUUCGAACCCUGUAGCUGACG
Molecule: transfer RNA, 82 nt
Filed under: Penicillium oxalicum 114-2
Lineage: Eukaryota; Fungi; Ascomycota; Eurotiomycetes; Eurotiales; Aspergillaceae
Also listed under: 1 other name
Description: tRNA-Ser (TGA) (tRNA-Ser-TGA-1-1)
Rfam family: tRNA
About the family: Transfer RNA (tRNA) molecules are approximately 80 nucleotides in length. Their secondary structure includes four short double-helical elements and three loops (D, anti-codon, and T loops).
Source: RNAcentral